RNAcentral lists this ribosomal RNA (267 nucleotides) under uncultured Pseudomonas sp. RNAcentral describes it as "partial 16S ribosomal RNA". It matches the Rfam family "Bacterial small subunit ribosomal RNA", at positions 1117 to 1382 of the family's 1533-position model. Lineage: Bacteria; Pseudomonadati; Pseudomonadota; Gammaproteobacteria; Pseudomonadales; Pseudomonadaceae. The record is from RNAcentral.
ACCAGCACGGUUAUGGUGGGCACUCUAAGGAGACUGCCGGUGACAAACCGGAGGAAGGUGGGGAUGACGUCAAGUCAUCAUGGCCCUUACGGCCUGGGCUACACACGUGCUACAAUGGUCGGUACAAAGGGUUGCCAAGCCGCGAGGUGGAGCUAAUCCCAUAAAACCGAUCGUAGUCCGGAUCGCAGUCUGCAACUCGACUGCGUGAAGUCGGAAUCGCUAGUAAUCGUGAAUCAGAAUGUCACGGUGAAUACGUUCCCGGGCCUU